Molecule: small nuclear RNA, 104 nt
Organism: Pteronotus mesoamericanus
Lineage: Eukaryota; Metazoa; Chordata; Mammalia; Chiroptera; Mormoopidae
Source: RefSeq, a predicted model, not a curated record
GUGCUCAUUUUGACAGCACAUGUACUAAAAUUGGGAUGAUACAAAGGUUAGCGUGGGCCCUGUGCAAGGAUGACACGCAAAUGCAUAUGGGGUCCCAUAUUUUC